GACGAAAAAUGAAUACCAAGUCUCAAGAGUGAACACGUAAUUCAUUACGAAGUUUAAUUCAUUGAGCAUCAAACUUUUAAAUUGAAGAGUUUGAUCAUGGCUCAGAUUGAACGCUGGCGGCAGGCCUAACACAUGCAAGUCGAACGGUAACAGGAAGCAGCUUGCUGCUUUGCUGACGAGUGGCGGACGGGNNNNNNNNNNNNNNNNNNNNGAGUAAUGUCUGGGAAACUGCCUGAUGGAGGGGGAUAACUACUGGAAACGGUGGCUAAUACCGCAUAACGUCGCAAGACCAAAGAGGGGGACCUUCGGGCCUCUUGCCAUCAGAUGUGCCCAGAUGGGAUUAGCUUGUUGGUGAGGUAACGGCUCACCAAGGCGACGAUCCCUAGCUGGUCUGAGAGGAUGACCAGCCACACUGGAACUGAGACACGGUCCAGACUCCUACGGGAGGCAGCAGUGGGGAAUAUUGCACAAUGGGCGCAAGCCUGAUGCAGCCAUGCCGCGUGUAUGAAGAAGGCCUUCGGGUUGUAAAGUACUUUCAGCGGGGAGGAAGGUGUUGUGGUUAAUAACCGCAGCAAUUGACGUUACCCGCAGAAGAAGCACCGGCUAACUCCGUGCCAGCAGCCGCGGUAAUACGGAGGGUGCAAGCGUUAAUCGGAAUUACUGGGCGUAAAGCGCACGCAGGCGGUCUGUCAAGUCGGAUGUGAAAUCCCCGGGCUCAACCUGGGAACUGCAUUCGAAACUGGCAGGCUUGAGUCUUGUAGAGGGGGGUAGAAUUCCAGGUGUAGCGGUGAAAUGCGUAGAGAUCUGGAGGAAUACCGGUGGCGAAGGCGGCCCCCUGGACAAAGACUGACGCUCAGGUGCGAAAGCGUGGGGAGCAAACAGGAUUAGAUACCCUGGUAGUCCACGCCGUAAACGAUGUCUACUUGGAGGUUGUGCCCUUGAGGCGUGGCUUCCGGAGCUAACGCGUUAAGUAGACCGCCUGGGGAGUACGGCCGCAAGGUUAAAACUCAAAUGAAUUGACGGGGGCCCGCACAAGCGGUGGAGCAUGUGGUUUAAUUCGAUGCAACGCGAAGAACCUUACCUGGUCUUGACAUCCACGGAAGUUUUCAGAGAUGAGAAUGUGCCUUCGGGAACCGUGAGACAGGUGCUGCAUGGCUGUCGUCAGCUCGUGUUGUGAAAUGUUGGGUUAAGUCCCGCAACGAGCGCAACCCUUAUCCUUUGUUGCCAGCGGUCCGGCCGGGAACUCAAAGGAGACUGCCAGUGAUAAACUGGAGGAAGGUGGGGAUGACGUCAAGUCAUCAUGGCCCUUACGACCAGGGCUACACACGUGCUACAAUGGCGCAUACAAAGAGAAGCGACCUCGCGAGAGCAAGCGGACCUCAUAAAGUGCGUCGUAGUCCGGAUUGGAGUCUGCAACUCGACUCCAUGAAGUCGGAAUCGCUAGUAAUCGUGGAUCAGAAUGCCACGGUGAAUACGUUCCCGGGCCUUGUACACACCGCCCGUCACACCAUGGGAGUGGGUUGCAAAAGAAGUAGGUAGCUUAACCUUCGGGAGGGCGCUUACCACUUUGUGAUUCAUGACUGGGGUGAAGUCGUAACAAGGUAACCGUAGGGGAACCUGCGGUUGGAUCACCUCCUUACCUUAAAGAAGCGUACUUUGCAGUGCUCACACAGAUUGUCUGAUGAAAA
This 1688-nucleotide ribosomal RNA is filed under the name Salmonella enterica subsp. enterica serovar Paratyphi A. RNAcentral's name for it is "bacterial SSU rRNA". It matches the Rfam family "Bacterial small subunit ribosomal RNA". Lineage: Bacteria; Pseudomonadati; Pseudomonadota; Gammaproteobacteria; Enterobacterales; Enterobacteriaceae. The record is from RNAcentral.